This 253-nucleotide ribosomal RNA is filed under the name uncultured bacterium. Its description in RNAcentral is "partial 16S ribosomal RNA". It matches the Rfam family "Bacterial small subunit ribosomal RNA", at positions 524 to 776 of the family's 1533-position model. The record is from RNAcentral.
AACGUAGGUGGCGAGCGUUGUCCGGAAUUACUGGGUGUAAAGGGAGCGCAGGCGGGACAGCAAGUUGAAUGUGUAAUUUAUGGGCUCAACCCAUAAACUGCGUUCAAAACUGUUGUUCUUGAGUGAUGUAGAGGUAGGCGGAAUUCCCGGUGUAGCGGUGGAAUGCGUAGAUAUCGGGAGGAACACCAGUGGCGAAGGCGGCCUACUGGGCAUCAACUGACGCUGAGGCUCGAAAGUAUGGGGAGCAAACAGG